This 253-nucleotide ribosomal RNA is filed under the name uncultured bacterium. RNAcentral describes it as "partial 16S ribosomal RNA". It matches the Rfam family "Bacterial small subunit ribosomal RNA", at positions 524 to 776 of the family's 1533-position model. The record is from RNAcentral.
UACGUAGGGCGCAAGCGUUGUCCGGAAUUAUUGGGCGUAAAGAGCUCGUAGGCGGUUUGUCGCGUCUGCCGUGAAAGUCCGGGGCUCAACUCCGGAUCUGCGGUGGGUACGGGCAGGCUAGAGUGAUGUAGGGGAGACUGGAAUUCCUGGUGUAGCGGUGAAAUGCGCAGAUAUCAGGAGGAACACCGAUGGCGAAGGCAGGUCUCUGGGCAUUAACUGACGCUGAGGAGCGAAAGCAUGGGGAGCGAACAGG